GACGAACCGUGCGAACGUUAUUCGGAAUCACUGGGCUUGAAGGGCGCGUAGGCGGGCAUCAAAGUCAGGGGUGAAAUCCCGCGGCUCAACCGCGGAAGUGCCUCUGAUACUGGGUGCCUAGAGGGGUGCAGGGGCGUGCGGAACUAAGGGUGGAGCGGUGAAAUGCGUAGAUAUCCUUAGGAACACCGGUGGCGAAAGCGGCGCGCUGGACACCUACUGACGCUGAGGCGCGAAAGCCAGGGGAGCAAACGGG
This 253-nucleotide ribosomal RNA is filed under the name uncultured bacterium. RNAcentral describes it as "partial 16S ribosomal RNA". It matches the Rfam family "Bacterial small subunit ribosomal RNA", at positions 524 to 776 of the family's 1533-position model. The record is from RNAcentral.